AAGGCUAUGUGUAACUGGCGAAACGCGGAUCACCGCGAGGGAGCACAUAGUGUCGUUGCCGUUCGCCUGGGCAGAGGUA
RNAcentral lists this non-coding RNA (79 nucleotides) under Fictibacillus enclensis. RNAcentral describes it as "ZTP sequence". It matches the Rfam family "ZMP/ZTP riboswitch aptamer (pfl RNA motif)". From Rfam's summary of the family: Previously known as pfl RNA. The record is from Rfam by way of RNAcentral. Lineage: Bacteria; Bacillati; Bacillota; Bacilli; Caryophanales; Fictibacillaceae.